Eptesicus fuscus (big brown bat) is the source of this 218-nucleotide long non-coding RNA. RefSeq lists it as uncharacterized. NCBI's taxonomy places the organism in Eukaryota, Metazoa, Chordata, Mammalia, Chiroptera, Vespertilionidae. The transcript is spliced from 4 exons. The record is from RefSeq and is a predicted model, not a curated record.
AGGUCAAACAAAAUGCCUGCUGUCACCCAAAGAGUUCAUUAAACGUUUUCUGCUGUGAACUAUCCCUCAUGCCGGGGACACUCAGGCCAUGGACAGGAAGACAGCACACCUUCUGUUCCUGAUGGUCAUAAGAACCACCUCCUUCCUCUUGUUGUGAAUGGCCAGUGGAAUAACUCCAGGAGGAUCGAGGACAAGCUAUUGGGCCAGGUGGAGAGGAG